Molecule: unclassified non-coding RNA, 239 nt
Filed under: uncultured fungus
Lineage: Eukaryota; Fungi
Description: sequence contains ITS2
Rfam family: 5.8S ribosomal RNA (bases 1-52)
Source: RNAcentral
AACGCACAUUGCGCCCGCUGGUAUUCCGGCGGGCAUGCCUGUUCGAGCGUCAUUAUAACCAAUCAAGCUCUGCUUGGCUUUGGGGCCCGCUGUACUGGCGACUCUUAAAAUCAGUGGCGGUGCCGUCUGGCUCUAAGCGUAGUAAUAUUUCUCGCUACAGGGUUCAGUCGUUCACCCGUCAGAACCUCCAAUUUUCUUAGGUUGACCUCGGAUCAGGUAGGGAUACCCGCUGAACUUAA